This 253-nucleotide ribosomal RNA is filed under the name uncultured bacterium. Its description in RNAcentral is "partial 16S ribosomal RNA". It matches the Rfam family "Bacterial small subunit ribosomal RNA", at positions 524 to 776 of the family's 1533-position model. The record is from RNAcentral.
UACGAAGGGGGCUAGCGUUGUUCGGAAUCACUGGGCGUAAAGGGCGCGUAGGCGGCUUUAUAAGUCGGGGGUGAAAGCCUGUGGCUCAACCACAGAAUUGCCUUCGAUACUGUAGAGCUUGAGACCGGAAGAGGUAAGUGGAACUGCGAGUGUAGAGGUGAAAUGCGCAGAUAUCAGGAGGAACACCAAUGGCGAAGGCAGCUCGCUGGGACGGUACUGACGCUGAGACGCGAAAGCGUGGGGAGCAAACAGG